CUUUGGCAAUCGUGGAACCCGAGGAAAAGGAGAGGAUGUCCAAGGUCUCUCACCAACAGUGCGUGUCAUGCCUUGGCAAUGACACAUAGCAAAUUCUUUCAUAUCCAAUUCGCCAUUAGUAAUCACACAGUACCACUCAACCAUGAAAAGACUAGCAAACGCAAUCCUACCUAAGUUCUGAAAGGGAUACUCUGCAGUAAACUUGCAUUACAUUUGCAAACAGAAAAAGAUAUUAUUUUGGAGAAAAGGAACUAAGUGCUUCAUGUAAUGGCUAUAUUCAGAAAACCAGCAUUCCACCCAGAUAAUAUCAAGGAGCUGAAACCCAGAAAAUCACUGCAUCUGGACAAUGAGAUGCCAGAUUCCUCACCGUCAUGGUCAGAAUCGCUUAACUGACCACCUGCUUCCUGUUGACCAACUCCUCUUCCUUACCGCUCCUUAAUUCCUGUUUUCCCACACAAGGUUACAUUUCUUCCCUGCUAUAUAAACCCCUAAUUUCAGUCAGUGGGGGAGAUGGGUUUGAGACUGAUCUCCCAUCUCCUCGGCUGCAACACCCAAUAAAGCCUUCGUCCUUAGCAAUA
Chlorocebus sabaeus (green monkey) is the source of this 578-nucleotide non-coding RNA. The record is from RefSeq and is a predicted model, not a curated record. NCBI's taxonomy places the organism in Eukaryota, Metazoa, Chordata, Mammalia, Primates, Cercopithecidae.